GGGGCGAUAGUAUAAUCUGGUAGUAUGGCCGCCUCCAGAGCGGCACAUCUCGGUUCAAAUCCGGGUCGCCCCA
Molecule: transfer RNA, 73 nt
Filed under: Candidatus Woesearchaeota archaeon
Lineage: Archaea; Nanobdellati; Candidatus Woesearchaeota
Description: tRNA-Trp
Rfam family: tRNA
About the family: Transfer RNA (tRNA) molecules are approximately 80 nucleotides in length.
Source: RNAcentral